GGUCAAAAUUGUAAAAAAGAAGGUAAUUCUUCGAUUUUCUCAGUGAAUGCCCUUCAUUAUAAUGUGCAUGUUGCUUCCGAUUCUUGCAUGUAAAGCUGUUAGAAUUUCCACAGGAAUUCUUUGUUGCUAUUUUGGCCACCAGAUGCUACUAAUCAUUUUCUUAGAAAUCAAUAUAAUUGAUUGUUUAGGAAUCUCUUGUAAUUUUAUGACUUGAAUCCCAUUCUGUUUCAAGAAUCUAUCUGUUCUGGGAAGUUAAAUAUCUAACUCUUGCAAUGACAAGAGUAAAAAUGUCAAGAAAAUUGUGAUGGUGCAAUAGAGGUAAGUGUAUGUGUUGUUGAACCUUUUGUGUUUGGAAUUGAUAUAUAGUUGGACGUGUAUGUUUUAUCAAACUACAAGUAAUGUUUGGCCUUUUUCAACAGUCAACUAGAUAUCAGUAAUUGUUUUUAAGCACAGUUUGCAAAUUUUAUAAUCUAAA
This 475-nucleotide unclassified non-coding RNA is filed under the name Hevea brasiliensis (rubber tree). The record is from RNAcentral. Lineage: Eukaryota; Viridiplantae; Streptophyta; Magnoliopsida; Malpighiales; Euphorbiaceae.